RNAcentral lists this ribosomal RNA (737 nucleotides) under Diploschistes thunbergianus. Its description in RNAcentral is "SSU rRNA". It matches the Rfam family "Bacterial small subunit ribosomal RNA", at positions 370 to 1106 of the family's 1533-position model. The record is from RNAcentral. Lineage: Eukaryota; Fungi; Ascomycota; Lecanoromycetes; Ostropales; Graphidaceae.
AAUAGCCUAACGGCUGAACCGGCAACUUGGAGGAAUGUAUAGGGAAAACUGGUAAAAUGUGAUGUACCUAGUAAUAUUAGUGAUUAAUAUGAGACUAACCGAGUUAGUUAAAAUUCUAAGYMUAUAUGUGAUUAUGACAAUAUGUGCUUAUUUCUUGACCAAGUCACGUGCCAGCCGKCGCGGUAAUACGUGGAAGAUCAGUGUUAUUCAUCUUUAUCAGGUUUAAAGGGUACCUAGACGGKUAAUUAAGCUUUAGUAGGAACUAAUUAACUAGAGYUUAAUGUAMGAAUGAUUGAGUACGGUGAGUGUAGAGAUAAAAUUCUGUCAUACCACUUAGGAACUGGUAAAAGCGAAGGCAACUUUCUAUGUAAAAACUGACGUUAAGGGACGAAGGCUCGUAUCAAAUAACAGGAUUAGAUACCCCAGUAUUGUGGGCAGACAAUGAUGAGUGUCAUAUGCAMGAGAUAAAUAUAUAAAAAAAUAUUUUGUGUAUAAAUGAAAGUGUAAGCACUCCACCUCAAGAGUAACGUGGCAACAUGGGAACUGAAAUCAUUAKACCGUUUCUGAAACUCGCAGUGAAGUAUGUUGUUUAAUUAGAUGGUGCACAAAUAACCUUACCACAAUUUGUAUAACUAUAGUACAUAAUANUAAUAUAGUUACANGCGUUGCACGGCUGUCUUUAGUCUAUGUUGGAGAAACUGUGGUUAGAUCCAUUAAANUAGACCGUUAAAACCCUU